This 497-nucleotide ribosomal RNA is filed under the name uncultured bacterium. RNAcentral describes it as "partial 16S ribosomal RNA". It matches the Rfam family "Bacterial small subunit ribosomal RNA", at positions 28 to 507 of the family's 1533-position model. The record is from RNAcentral.
GAUGAACGCUGGCGGCGUGCCUAAUACAUGCAAGUCGAGCGAACGGACGAGAAGCUUGCUUCUCUGAUGUUAGCGGCGGACGGGUGAGUAACACGUGGAUAACCUCCCUAUAAGACUGGGAUAACUUCGGGAAACCGGAGCUAAUACCGGAUAAUAUUUUGAACCGCAUGGUUCAAAAGUGAAAUACGGUCUUGCUGUCACUUAUAGAUGGAUCCGCGCUGCAUUAGCUAGUUGGUAAGGUAACGGCUUACCAAGGCAACGAUGCGUAGCCGACCUGAGAGGGGGAUCGGCCACACUGGAACUGAGACACGGUCCAGACUCCUACGGGAGGCAGCAGUAGGGAAUCUUCCGCAAUGGGCGAAAGCCUGACGGAGCAACGCCGCGUGAGUGAUGAAGGUCUUCGGAUCGUAAAACUCUGUUAUUAGGGAAGAACAUAUGUGUAAGUAACUGUGCACAGCUUGACGGUACCUAAUCAGAAAGCCACGGCUAACUACGUG